This is a non-coding RNA of Lonchura striata (white-rumped munia), 459 nucleotides long. The record is from RefSeq and is a predicted model, not a curated record. NCBI's taxonomy places the organism in Eukaryota, Metazoa, Chordata, Aves, Passeriformes, Estrildidae.
UGGCUCGGGUGCCCCACUAGGUGACACUGUGUAUCCGUGGUUUGCUGCUCGACUCAAAUGAGCGGUUUCUGCUCUCAGAUUGAAGAGAGAUUAGAACAGGGCUGGCAAAAGGAAUAAGGACAUGCAAGGAUUUUUCACUUCCAUUUCUGGCUCCAGGUGGCUCUCGAGGGCAGCUGAGGACAACUGAGGGUGCCAAAAGAGACAUUACACUAACCAUGGAUGGCUUGCUGCCCUGUCUUGCUGCCUUGGAGGACUCUUACCAGUUAAAAUUCGUCUCUGCUUGUGGAAACCGCGAGGGCUCAGCAGUGUGCGAAGCAUCAACAUUACGGCCGUGACGUGGCGGGAUUGCUGGGGAGUCCUGCACAGGGCCAGGAGCCGGACUUUGAUGACCCUCGUGGCUCCCUUCCAACUCAGUAUAUUUCUGUGCCCCUGUGGUUCUGUCACUUCUUGGCUCUGUGU